Molecule: long non-coding RNA, 745 nt
Organism: Paramisgurnus dabryanus
Lineage: Eukaryota; Metazoa; Chordata; Actinopteri; Cypriniformes; Cobitidae
Source: RefSeq, a predicted model, not a curated record
CUGCGCUGCGAGAACCGACAUCAUACGUUGAUGACGUCAAUGUAUCGCGAGAGCGAGUCAAGAAAUUACACUCUCGCGGUACAUUGACGUUAUCAACCUGUCAGCGCAGCAAGAACUCGAACACACGUAUUUGCGGGCGCGCGCCUCCGUCCUCGUGAGUUCAAAGUGGAUUUUAACCGUUUACCUCAGACGACAGUUUUCAUUUCUAUGGCAAAUUCUAAGGUCAUUUUCUUGUUGUGUUUUGAUGUUUUCCAUUGGCUGAAGAGCAGAUUAAUUACCAUGCAAUUUGAAGAAUUGUGAUAAAAUACACAGAGGUGAAGUCAUGUGUCUUUCCAGAUGCCCAAUCUGUACCACUCAAAAAGUAAUGAAGUGACAGUGUACCAUGACAAAAAAUAUGAGCCUGAAGAGGAGAUUUGGGAAGAUGCUGUUUAUAAGUCUUUGCUUUGCCAGAUCACCUGUGGUCGAGAUGUCUGCUAACAAGAUGCCUUGUUGGUCUGGGCGAGUUUGAAGUCUCUCACAGACAGUCCAGAAGGUCUGGAGUCCAUCUUAGCUUUUAUUGAUGCUGUCAUCAGGUUUUAAGUACAGUAUGAGCCAGAAUGGAAGGGUGUUGGUGGCCAUAAGAAGACUGUGAGCUAAACCUACAACAAAAUUCAUAUUUGCAGUUUUCCUAGAAUAUUUUUUUUCUAUUCAGAUGAAUAAAAUGACUUUUAAAUAUUAUUUUGUUUUCAUAUUUUAUGUUUUCAUU